GAGUGGGGAUCUUCUCCUUUCUUUCCAGCACCGAGGGGUCCUUGUCACAGCCAUUUGAAGAUUUAAAUGAUUGAAUGGAACCCAUUUGAACAAUUGAAUCAUAUGAGGAAAACGACGUGAACUGCUCCGUUGUUUUUGUGUAAUACUGUGAUCAUUGUUACGUGACGACCGAUGCUUUCCCACUAAAGGAAUUUAAUAAACGUCUCACAAAUGGAGGUUGCAUGAGAUUUAGAGUAAAAACCAAGUCAAUAGCCACAAAGAACGACAAGUGUUGGCAUCCAGUUGCGAUUGCUCCACCCAGUGACAAGGGUAUCUUCUCGUGGACCUAUUGUGAGUGUGCACUCUUAUAAUUUGUUUGACCGAUGUUUUUAUUUUUGACUGAAAUCUUAUCCUUUA
RNAcentral lists this long non-coding RNA (396 nucleotides) under Elaeis guineensis (African oil palm). RNAcentral's name for it is "long non-coding RNA (EGUI_LNC006790)". The record is from RNAcentral. Lineage: Eukaryota; Viridiplantae; Streptophyta; Magnoliopsida; Arecales; Arecaceae.